AAAAGCUCCUAAGUUUAUCCACAGCAAUCCGUACCGCAAACCGACACAGGUGGGUGAGGAGACAAUCCUAAGGCGCUCGAGAGAACUCUGGCCAAGGAACUCGGCAAAAUAACCCCGUAACUUCGGAAGAAGGGGUGCUCUCUAGGGUGACAUGUUUAACAUAUGAAGCCCCGGGGAGCCGCAGUGAAUUGGUGGUGGCGACUGUUUACUAAAAACAUAGGUCUGUGCGAAGUCCUAAAGACGACGUAUACGGACUGACGCCUGCCCGGUGCUGGAAGGUUAAAAGGAGGGGUCAGCGCAAGCAAAGCUCCGAAUUGAAGCCCCAGUAAACGGCGGCCGUAACUAUAACGGUCCUAAGGUAGCGAAAUUCCUUGUCGGGUAAGUUCCGACCUGCACGAAUGGCGUAACGAUCUCCACACUGUCUCGGCCAGAGACUCGGUGAAAUUGCAGUCGCGGUGAAAAUUCCGUGUACCCGCAGAAAGACGGAAAGACCCUGUGCACCUUUACUAUAGCUUGACAUUGGAUUUUGGGCCUGCAUGUGUAGGAUAGGUGGGAGGCUGUGAACCCUGUACGCCAGUAUGGGGGGAGCCAUCCUUGAAAUACCACCCUUGCAUGUUUAAGAUCCUAACUUCUUCCGGUUAUCCCGGAGAAAGACAGUGUCUGGCGGGUAGUUUGACUGGGGCGGUCGCCUCCUAAAGUGUAACGGAGGCAUGCAAAGGUUCCCUCAGCCUGAUCGGAAACCAGGCGCUGAGUGCAAACGCAUAAGGGAGCUUGACUGUAAGAGAGACAUCUCGAACAGGAACGAAAGUUGGCGUUAGUGAUCCGGUGGUCCCGAAUGGAAGGGCCAUCGCUCAUUGGAUAAAAGGUACGCCGGGGAUAACAGGCUGAUCGCAUCCAAGAGUUCACAUCGACGAUGCGGUUUGGCACCUCGAUGUCGGCUCAUCACAUCC
This 950-nucleotide ribosomal RNA is filed under the name human gut metagenome. RNAcentral describes it as "bacterial LSU rRNA". It matches the Rfam family "Bacterial large subunit ribosomal RNA", at positions 1613 to 2547 of the family's 2925-position model. The record is from RNAcentral.